AUUGAACGCUGGCGGCAUGCUUUACACAUGCAAGUCGAACGGUAACAGGCCGCAAGGCGCUGACGAGUGGCGAACGGGUGAGUAAUGCAUCGGAACGUGCCCAGUCGUGGGGGAUAACGCAGCGAAAGCUGUGCUAAUACCGCAUACGAUCUAUGGAUGAAAGCGGGGGACCGUAAGGCCUCGCGCGAUUGGAUCGGCCGCUGUCAGAUUAGCUAGUUGGUGGGGUAAAGGCCCACCAAGGCGACGAUCUGUAGCUGGUCUGAGAGGACGACCAGCCACACUGCGACUGAGACACGGACCAGACUCCUACGGGAGGCAGCAGUGGGGAAUUUUGGACAAUGGGCGCAAGCCUGAUCCAGCAAUGCCGCGUGCAGGAAGAAGGCCUUCGGGUUGUAAACUGCUUUUGUACGGAACGAAACGGUCUGGGUUAAUACCCUGGGCUAAUGACGGUACCGUAAGAAUAAGCACCGGCUAACUACGUGCCAGCCGCCGCAGUAA
Molecule: ribosomal RNA, 498 nt
Filed under: uncultured bacterium
Lineage: Bacteria
Description: partial 16S ribosomal RNA
Rfam family: Bacterial small subunit ribosomal RNA
Source: RNAcentral